CAGGUCGUUAAUUACUUCUGUUUUGGGUACGACACGGAGUCUAAAUCGAGCAAAGAAGGCCAGUGAUACAAAGUCAGUGCUUAUGCUGAAAUAGGAAUAUUUCCAAACGAUGGAUGAGUUGAAGGAAGCUUGUUCGGUCAAAUUAAAAACUGCUAGACAAUACUACAUUCUAGGACGGUACGAAAUACUCCAAUGUGGUGAUGUGGUGACGCAAAAUGUAAUUGUGCUAUUAGUGGCAAACGAUGCUCAUCAAACCGC
Long non-coding RNA from Gigantopelta aegis, 258 nucleotides. RefSeq lists it as uncharacterized. Lineage: Eukaryota; Metazoa; Mollusca; Gastropoda; Neomphalida; Peltospiridae. The record is from RefSeq and is a predicted model, not a curated record. The transcript is spliced from 3 exons.